AACGAACGCUGGCGGCAUGCCUAACACAUGCAAGUCGAACGAGACCUUCGGGUAUAGUGGCGCACGGGUGCGUAACGCGUGGGAACCUGCCCUUAGGUUCGGAAUAACUCCCCGAAAGGGGUGCUAAUACCGGAUAAUGUCUUCGGACCAAAGAUUUAUCGCCUUUGGAUGGGCCCGCGUUGGAUUAGCUAGUUGGUAGGGUAAAAGCCUACCAAGGCGACGAUCCAUAGCUGGUCUGAGAGGAUGAUCAGCCACACUGGGACUGAGACACGGCCCAGACUCCUACGGGAGGCAGCAGUGGGGAAUAUUGGACAAUGGGCGAAAGCCUGAUCCAUCAAUGCCGCGUGAGUGAUGAAGGCCUUAGGGUUGUAAAGCUCUUUUACCCGGGAUGAUAAUGACAGUACCGGGAGAAUAAGCUCCGGCUAACUCCGUG
This 433-nucleotide ribosomal RNA is filed under the name uncultured bacterium. RNAcentral's name for it is "partial 16S ribosomal RNA". It matches the Rfam family "Bacterial small subunit ribosomal RNA", at positions 29 to 507 of the family's 1533-position model. The record is from RNAcentral.